Dipodomys ordii (Ord's kangaroo rat) is the source of this 46-nucleotide non-coding RNA. NCBI's taxonomy places the organism in Eukaryota, Metazoa, Chordata, Mammalia, Rodentia, Heteromyidae. The record is from Rfam.
CCAAAGGCUCUUUUCAGAGCCACCUAUCUUCUCAAGAGAGAGCGGG